This 564-nucleotide ribosomal RNA is filed under the name uncultured Glomeromycotina. Its description in RNAcentral is "SSU rRNA". It matches the Rfam family "Eukaryotic small subunit ribosomal RNA", at positions 548 to 1114 of the family's 1831-position model. Lineage: Eukaryota; Fungi; Glomeromycota. The record is from RNAcentral.
UUGGAGGGCAAGUCUGGUGCCAGCAGCCGCGGUAAUUCCAGCUCCAAUAGCGUAUAUUAAAGUUGUUGCAGUUAAAAAGCUCGUAGUUGAAUUUCGGGAUCAGAGCGUCGGUCGUGCCUCGGUACGCACUGGUAUUAUUGGUUCCUACCUUCUGAAGAACCGCGAUGUCAUUAAUUUGGUGUCGUGGGGAAUCAGGACUGUUACUUUGAAAAAAUUAGAGUGUUUAAAGCAGGCUUACGCUUGAAUACAUUAGCAUGGAAUAAUGAAAUAGGACGUUUGAUUCUAUUUUGUUGGUUUCUAGGAUUGACGUAAUGAUUAAUAGGGAUAGUUGGGGGCAUUAGUAUUCAAUUGUCAGAGGUGAAAUUCUUGGAUUUAUUGAAGACUAACUACUGCGAAAGCAUUUGCCAAGGAUGUUUUCAUUAAUCAAGAACGAAAGUUAGGGGAUCGAAGACGAUCAGAUACCGUCGUAGUCUUAACCAUAAACUAUGCCGACUAGGGAUCGGAUGAUGUAAAUUCUUUAAUGACACAUUCGGCGCCUUACGGGAAACCAAAGUGUUUGGGUUC